This is a long non-coding RNA of Rana temporaria (common frog), 416 nucleotides long. RefSeq lists it as uncharacterized. The record is from RefSeq and is a predicted model, not a curated record. The transcript has 3 exons. NCBI's taxonomy places the organism in Eukaryota, Metazoa, Chordata, Amphibia, Anura, Ranidae.
UGCAACCAUCGUACUCUCCACAAGAUGGAGAGCUGAGCUAUUUUAGGUGAAACGCACAGAUAAAGGAAGUGACGUAACAUACAGACAGGAAUUUCCGGGUUAGAGGUGAGUCGGGAGGAAGUAAAGAAAAGACAUUGCUGGAACUGGCAGCAGGGGAGAAAUGCAAUGUAUAUAGAUGAGAUCAAGCAGGAUGGAGAAGCAGUGGCGUCAAAUGACUGAGAAGAUAAUAAACCUCACCCUUGAGAUCAUCUUUUUGUUGACUGGAGAGAUUUUUCCUCCUCUGAAGGAUGAAGACCAACUUACCUUUACUGUGCCUCCACCUCGCUCCUUGAUGAUUAAGAUAAACAAUGGCAAGAAGAUUCUAGAAGUCACCAAGAAGAUGAUGGAGCUGCUGACAGGAGAGGUGAGGAGGAUUC